This 495-nucleotide ribosomal RNA is filed under the name uncultured bacterium. Its description in RNAcentral is "partial 16S ribosomal RNA". It matches the Rfam family "Bacterial small subunit ribosomal RNA", at positions 28 to 507 of the family's 1533-position model. The record is from RNAcentral.
GACGAACGCUGGCGGCGUGCCUAAUACAUGCAAGUAGAACGCUGAAGGAGGAGCUUGCUUCUCUGGAUGAGUUGCGAACGGGUGAGUAACGCGUAGGUAACCUGCCUGGUAGCGGGGGAUAACUAUUGGAAACGAUAGCUAAUACCGCAUAAGAGUAGAUGUCGCAUGACAUUUGCUUAAAAGGUGCAAUUGCAUCACUACCAGAUGGACCUGCGUUGUAUUAGCUAGUUGGUGAGGUAACGGCUCACCAAGGCAACGAUACAUAGCCGACCUGAGAGGGUGAUCGGCCACACUGGGUCUGAGACACGGCCCAGACUCCUACGGGAGGCAGCAGUAGGGAAUCUUCGGCAAUGGACGGAAGUCUGACCGAGCAACGCCGCGUGAGUGAAGAAGGGUUUCGGAUCGUAAAGCUCUGUUGUAAGAGAAGAACGAGUGUGAGAGUGGAAAGUUCACACUGUGACGGUAUCUUACCAGAAAGGGACGGCUAACUACGUG